UGUUAUGGGUUAUAGCUCAUGGUUGCGUGCGACUUGUUAUUACGAUGUUUAAACCGACAUGAGGAUUGAGAAAAGACGAACCAUAUAAUAUCUACAACCACCUAUCUCACGGUGUGACUCUACUCUAAGAAAGACUACUCAAGUUUAAGCGAAUAAACUCACCAACUCACGAUCUUCUCAGGUUCUCAAGUGAAACAUAAAAAUAGGAAGAAACAAAAACGAAAACCGUCUUCAGUCUCUGAUCUCAAGUUUAUCCUAAGUAUUCUUCAGUCCUUUUAUAUUUCUUCAUAAACUCGUAAGUAUCAGUAGUGUAGUUUUCGUUAGUAGUCUUCGUUGUUAAAUCUCUAAUAUAUAUCAAGUAUUUCUUCUUAUCAUCUACUUUUAAUGCAACCACAGACUCAAUAAAAAUUCUACGAAACGAUACUGAUACAACUAAAAAAUAAAAAGGUUAUAAUAUCAACAAGAUACUGAUAAAAUGUAUAGUAAUAAAGAUACUAAAUAUAUUGUAUAUAUUACUUUACUAAGCAGAAAAAGUGUCCAGUGCACUGUAUACGGAUAGCUGAAUAAAAAAUUGCUAGAGUGAUCGAAGGUCAACUCGAGCACACACUGGUCCAUAGCAGCGGGGGGAAAACGGGACACCACAACUGAACACCAUUCACGAUACGACGACGACGACGACGACGACGGUGAAGACGACGACGAGACGCUAGCCAACCGAGCGGUAACUGACCUACGACGAUUCGUUCACCCCAACAACUAAUAUCAUCGUACAUAUCAUGUUGUCUCCCUAACUCGCGGACACGCGAAAGAAUCAAUCCUACACCCACGCACUUUAAUUAAAUCUAACUCACUUAAAACUUACUAUUCGUAGUUUUUUUCCUUUCUUCUUUUUCUUCUUCUGCCUCUUCUCAAUCUUAUACUGUUUUUCUUAUUAUUUCUUCUUUUUGUAAUCGUCGAGUAACUCGUAUUAUAUCACUGGGUCUUUAAUAAAUAAUAAAUAAACGUGAAGAAGGUGACUGUUGACAAAGAACACGAAAUGACAACCGGCGACUACCGCGACAGAGACGGCAAUGGCCCCGUGACGGUGGUUUUAACACUCGCCAUGCCAAAGCCAAACCCGUUCGCGUUAGUCUUCUCCCCACUCUCGAAUCUUUUUCAGUAUCCCCUCUCUUUACUCUUUACUCUAUACGCUUGUACUUGUACUUCACUUAACUGAACUCUCAAUAUAAUACAAAAUACAUACAACACAGAACACAACCAAGUCAAUAUAGGUAAGUACAAUAUAAGUAAAAUGAAGAUUCUUCUUUUCUUCUUCUUCAUGUAUAUGAACUUACAUACAAAUAAGUCUAACAAGUAUUAUGUGUAGACAUGCCAGUGUGUUUUGAUGGUGUUACUUCUUAUUCCUGCCGACUUAACAUCGGUGUGGUUGGCGCUAGCGUCUUGUCGCGCGGGAACCACACGGGAGAACCGGUAAAUCUUUCGCAUGAAGAGGAAAUGCCAACGAACUCUUACUCGUCUGCACACUCUUUUCUUCUCUUCCUCAUCUUUGUUGGUUAGGUUAGAGUGUAGAGUUUGUAACACGAUACUAGAUAGGAGCUUCGAACUUUAAGAGAACGUCAGCUGAUGAUAAAUUCGCUCUCAGUAUCGACGAUGCGGACGCGGUUGGCUGGAAGUUAGAAGGACAUCGUAUCGUGGUUAACCCAUUUAACCAUCGAACGUUCCACUCCCUUGUCCUUGCUCCCAUAAUACUGACGGAAGUGUCAAAGCUGGCAAAGUUAUUCUUGCGUUGGUACUGAGACUGGUACUGGUGCUUAUAUAUCAGCAACGAUAAUAAAAAAAAGACAUUUAAACUGAGUAUUAAUAUAUGCACUGUGCAAAUACGAACGAUGAAUUGACGACGAUUCCAUUCCGCAAUUAAAAUGCACUUGGUCGUUAAACAAUGCCGGGAAAAAGAAAUAAAAGUUGUGAGCCGAUGUGUUUAUCCUCGGACGCUCUUCGUGCCAUUCUGCCACCUGGAGGUAAACUUUUAUAUCAGUACGGGUUUAAAGAAGAAAAUAAAAGUAUUAACAAAAUCCUAUCCGGUGCAUAGCAGUUGGAGGGUGGAUACGAAGGAAGGAUGUGAGUUGUAAGUAUAUGCUCGGAUAUAAUACUUAUAUAUACUUGCAACGAUGCUAUGUAUAGAUGUAUUGAGUUAUAAGUUUAAAUUUAACUCGUCAUUGAGUUUCAUCGAUUCGAUAAUCGUAUCAAUUCACGAAAACUUUCACCCAAUCUUGUAUGGUACGCCCGGAAGAAAGUGUAACUCGAUCUCCAGUACAUUCUCAAAGACACUUUUUUAAUAUAUACGUACAUAUAUAGUGUUGUCUUUUCUUGUCUUCACUUAUUGUUCAUUUGCACAUGUUAUUAUACACAUGCAACAUGAAAGAUAGAGACGAAGAGUAAUGAUGAUGGCAAAACAAAAAGAAUAUAAAAAGUUGAGUAAAAAAUUGCAAAAUGUGCGUUUCUGCUGGAUGAUGGAGUAGUUGGACAACGUGCUUAUUAUGUCGAGGCAAUAAUACCAGCUCCGAAGUAUACUCUGGACGUGAUUAAACACCCGUAUAAUAAUCGACCCUGCGAUCAUUGAAUUAUUGAAUUAGUGGUUGAUCGAACAAGCAAAGGAAAGUCAGACUCAGAUACAGAGAUCAUGCAUCGAACACAGCACCCACGAGUAUGCGUGUCUUGCGCUUGGGAAAGCUUUCAUGCAUCCUGAGCUCAGAAAAAUUAUUCAGCGUGACGACCGGAAUGUUGACUUACCAUAUUGGAGACAGUACUCUUGACUUGGGCGAGUAAUUGUGAGGCAGGAGACAGAUAAGACUCGA
Cotesia glomerata is the source of this 2855-nucleotide long non-coding RNA. RefSeq lists it as uncharacterized. Lineage: Eukaryota; Metazoa; Arthropoda; Insecta; Hymenoptera; Braconidae. The record is from RefSeq and is a predicted model, not a curated record. The transcript is spliced from 6 exons.